CUGUUUGUCUAUUUUGAGCCACUGUAGUAACAAUAUAGCCAGAAACACUUCCUCAAAAUAGAUACAUCAAGAAAUCUAUAUAGAAUUCUUUACGUUUUGCAGAGGAGGUCUUAGUUGCACAAUUACACAUCAGUUUAGUGCAGUAAUUCUCAAGUGGAUGAUAGCAAACACUUCAUUGAAGAAUCCCGUCCAUAGUUCCCACCCCUACUGUAAACCAAUCACUGAUGAAGGGGUGUAGACUUUGACUACUAAACUUCCACUUGCCUCAACAAAAGAAAUUGGUGUAACACGAGUUCCGUCACUAAAAUGGAAACAAACGAUUGGCUUCUAUUCGAAACCAAUCAACCAUUUUCUUACACGUCAUUAGAUUGCGACUCAAUCACGUUGAGGACAACACGCUUGACGGUACCGAAUGUAAAAUAUUUUCGUAGCAAUUUUCCUCAAUGUUUCAACAGAAUACAAUCCGGGUUACGAAUCGUAUAUUUUGGCAAAGUUAUACUUUGUUGAGAUCAUGGACUCAGUUAUCAAGGACAAGACUACUGCACGUACAACCGCUUGCAUCAGGGACCAGUCAAUGGUCCUCUUCACAGUCAAGACACAGCAGUGGUCCGAUUUUGCCAGUUGCUUUCAGGCAGUAUCGAAGAGACGUACCUCUACAUAACCAAUUCUCUACCACAACACACGUCUGCAGCGAUUCUAUUGGGAAGAUUCAUUCAACGCAUUACCACUUGGUUUACACAUGCAAGGUCAACGAAGAUGAUAUCCAAGGUAGCCUAUCAUAAAGGUGUUGUCCUAGUGACCUGCCCAGGAUGUGAAAAACACCACAUUAUUGCUGACAACUUGGGUUGGUUCUCUGAUCUGAAGGGAAAGAGGAACAUUGAGGAAAUCCUUGCAGCGAAAGGGGAGAAAGUGAAGAGGGUAGAAGAAGAGGCGGCCUUCGAGAUUGUUAUAGAUGAGUCCGGCAAGGAUACAACACAGACUGCUCAAGAUGCAAAGAAACCUUCACCAGAGUCUGAUGACUCAGGGAAAUCAUGACUAACUCUCUGUGGGUGUGUGUGCGCACAACAAGGACAUCGUUCUCUAUGAGGGGAAAAAUUGCUAUGGAACACUUCUUUUGAUAUUUCUAUCUCCAUGUUGUUUUCAUAAGAUGUUGAUCAUUUCUUAUCAAUUUCUUAUACCAACUGAACACUACUGCCAGAAUAUUCCUUGGGUUUACACCAAUCUUACUACUACUGCACUGAUCACACUCAAACAGAAGAGGCUGAUGCUUACAAUUAAUUUUUAUUGUAAAGUUGUAUGAUAUAAAGCAUGAAGAAUUAACAUCCAAAGGCCCAUUUAGGGCCAUGGCAAACUGCCUAUCAUAGACCCUCUCCCUCUUCCUCCAUGGUGUCCUCCAGCAGCACAUGAAAGCAAUGCUGUCAAUCCACAUGGAAGCAGAACAUAGAGUGCUCCUGUAUAACAAUUAUCCCGUCAGGAAUUAGUAGAACAGUCAUUGAACGAAUGGGAUUCACAGUAAUACAUUUGUCUGAAAAUGUUCAAUCAUGAACCCCAGUUCUGGAGCCCCUAUCCUCUCAUCACAAGCCCAAUCACUUACCUCAUCUGCUCUUCUGUGUUUUCCUCUUCCUGCCUCGCUCCCUUUCAUCCUUUCCUAUUGAUGCUUCAACAGAUAAAGAGACCUCAUAUGCCACAAUCUGUUUCAGGAAAAACACAUCUGAAAGCCCACUCACUUGAGGUGAAUAAUCACAUGAGAUCAGGAAUUGAAUACAGUUGUCUACAGAGAACAGGCUUUGAUAGUAAACACUUACCUAAUGUAGUCAUCCAGCUGUGCUCCUCCUCCAACCCUCCCAUCCUUUCCAAUUGCUGCUUCAACAGAUCUGUUUCUUUGGCUACUCUUUUCAUCUAUCUCAGACUUGAACAGGCUUAGAAAGAGGACAAAAGGAAGCCAAAGCAACUUUAACUUGACCUUUUAUCCCAUGGUCCUUCCUGAUUCUGUCCAUCAGAACUUGAAUUCUAUAUCUCCUACUUCCCUCCUGAUAAACCACUCUGGUCUCUCUUCCUCCUCUCUCAUGUUUCCUCCUCUUCACCCUCAUGCCUGGCUUCCUUAUAAUUUGUUCCUCCUUUUGCUUAUUUUCUCGAUUGUCUUUACUCUUCAAAAAAAACUAAUUUGUUGUUUAUUUACAUCUAUCAACAUACCUAGGAGCAUUGACUUGUACAUUUCUUUUGUCUGCUCCCUUUCUUUUGUCAUCUACUGAAAAGUUGUCGAUGCCUCGUCCGCCGCUUUCUUCUGCUUCUUCCUUGUUCUCCUCUUUGCAGACUGUGCGUGAGCGGUCUCUGGACGCUGCUCCCUCUCUUCCCUCCGCACAGAGGCGUCAGAUGUAGACGUUGUGACCUCGUAUGCCACCACCUGUUUUGCUCUCUGUGUCUGUCCUUUUUUCUGACACAGCGCACGUCUCUUUUCUCUUUCAAUCUGUGCAUUCCUCUCUUCUCUCUCAUACAGUUUCUCCAUCUCCAUCUUGAACCUGGCCUCGUGAUCUUUUAUUCUUUGAAGAUCUGCUCUCUUCUUAUCCUCGUCCCGUAUCCUUGUCUGCCUUUUCUGUUCCUCCUUCUCUUGUUCCUGCUGUAUCUUCAAUCUCCUUUUCUGUUCCUCUUUCCUCCUCUUCCCUUCUUUCUCUCGUGCCUUUUGCUGCAUCUCCAACACCUUCAUUCUCUCCUUUUCCCUGUUCCUCUCCUCCUCCAUCCUCUGUUUCUCCAUCUUUUUCUCUUCCUCUGCCCUCUUUUUCUCUUCUUUUGCACGGGCCUUCUGUUGCAUCUCCUGCUGCUUUCUUUCUUUUUUCUCGCGCUUUUUCUCUUGCUCUUGUCUCUUUUUCUCAUGUUCGAUCUUUAGUUUCAUCUCUGCCUUCUCCCUUUUCCUCUGCUCCUCUAACUUGUUUUUUUCCAUAUUUUCUGUCCUUUUCCUUUCCUCCUCAUUCAAUUUCUUCUGCCUCUUUUCCCACUUUUUGAGCUCUUCGUCCCUGGCUUUUUCCUUCCUCCUUUCAAUCUUCAUCAUCUCUUCAUUUCUCUUAGCCUCAUACUUGAAAUAUUUGAUCCUGUCUGCGUAGCUCAUGGCAUUAAGUUCUUCUAUCCCUCGGCUCGCCAUCAUAGACAUUGCAUUGGCGGUUGCAAAUCUCCCUUCCAUUUUACCACUAUCAAUCUCCUUCCUGUCCCUCUUACCAUAAGGAUCCCUGUGUAGACAUCUCUGCUGUUGUCCACUCAUGCUCUCCUCACUUUCACUACUCCCCUCCUGACUUGUGUCCUCACUCACACUCUGAGACACAUCAUGCUCAGACGAGCACGAGGGAGUCACAGCAUUCUCAGUGAUGACGCGGAGCGCCUUGAUGUAGUCAGCUUCUGUGUUCACUCUGUGAGCGAGCGGGCACAGCUCCUCGUAAAUGGAUUUCCAUGUGAGUGACUCCUCACAAACGUCGUUAGGCAGGUAUAGAUCAGAUGAUUGCCUCUUGAGCACAUUCACAACCUCUGCCAGGUCCUGCUGGGUGCCCCCCUGAGUGUCCUCUCGGGCGGCCACUGGCGUGGCCUCUGGGCUGGCCGGACGCUCGGGGGCUGUGGCAGGGGUAUUAGAUCGUUUUACUGCAGAGAAGCAGGAGGCCUCAGUGUCAUCGUUCUUGUCAUCACUGUUUGCCAUUUUCUUCAGAAUCUCUUCCUUUCUCUUUUGGGCCAUCCUCUCUUUCAGCUGUGCUUUAUACAUGCUUGCAAUUUCUGCUCCUCUCCGUUGAACUUCCUCAGACAAUUCCUCAGACGAUGCAGUCUCUGGCCUCUUAACCUCAUCCUUGACCUUUGCCUGGCCAGUCAAUGGGGACCUGGGGUGGACCUGCGGAUGGGUCAAUCUCAUCCGGGCAGGAGGGCCGGAAGCCAGGAGGUGGGAUGGGACAGCAAAUCGGUGUGAAGCGUGUGGGUGUGACGUCUUGGACGGAGAAUGAGGCCAUUUAUCAGGGGAGUUGCAGCUCUGUGUGUCCAGAGGGGGAAAGAUUGAGUGUUUCUUAGGUGGGUCCUUCUGGGUGCCGGCAGCAUGCUGGUCAGGCUCCGAUUGGCUGUUGGCGAGGUACCUGUGGUGGUUGUACCAGGGGAAAGCUGGCAGUGUCGGGGAGACGGGACAAAUAAUGGAGGAGGUGGAGCGCUGCUUGAUCACCCCUUUAUCCACCCCAAUCUGUAUGAUGACAGACCCACUUUUAUUACUUAAUAACUUGAUGGUUAUUGUUAUUACUAUCUUAAAACAAUUACAUGUGUAUGGGUAAUAAAUAUCAUAGAGAAAACACGUUUUAUUACUGUAUAUUAGCCUAUUAGGAAAAUGGGAAGGUCCACACUUUUGGAAUCAUUCCAAUUCAGAAAUUCUUCCAUUCCUUUACAACUUUAUUCUAAGAAUGCACACCUUCCUAAGAAUACUACCAUUGCAGAACACAGGCCUUCCUCAGAAUACUACCAUUGCAGAAUGCAGACCUUCUUAAAAAUAGUACCAGUCAAGAAUUCAGACCUUCCUGAGAAUACUACCAGUGCAGAAUGCAGACCUUCCUGGGAAUACUACCAGUGCAGAAUGCAGACCUUCCUGAGAAUACUACCAGUGCAGAAUGCAGACCUUCUUAAUAAUACUACCAGUGCAGAAUGCAGACCUUCCUGAGAAUACUACCAGUGCAGAAUGCAGACCUUCUUAAUAAUACUACCAGUGCAGAAUUCAGACCUUCCUGAGAAUACUACCAGUGCAGAUUGCAGAACUUCUAAAUAAUCUACCAGUGCAGAAUUCAGACCUUCCUGAGAAUACUACCAGUGCAGAAUGCAGACCUUCCUGGGAAUACUACCAGUGCAGAAUGCAGACCUUCCUGAGAAUACUACCAGUGCAGAAUGCAGACCUUCUUAAUAAUACUACCAAUGCAGAAUGCAGAACUUCUUAAUAAUACUACAAGUGCAGAAUGCAGACCGUCUUAAUAAUACUACCAGUGCAGAAUGCAGAACUUCUUAAUAAUACUACCAGUGCAGAAUGCAGACCUUCUUAAUAAUACUACCAGUGCAGAAUGCAGAACUUCUUAAUAAUACUACCAGUGCAGAAUGCAGACCUUCUUAAUAAUACUACCAGUGCAGAAUGCAGACCUUCUUAAUAAUACUACCAGUGCAGAAUGCAGAACUUCUUAAUAAUACUACCAGUGCAGAAUGCAGACCUUCUUAAAAAUACUACCAGUGCAGAAUUCAGAGCUUCCUGAGAAUACUACCAGUGCAGAAUGCAGACCUUCCUGGGAAUACUACCAGUGCAGAAUGCAGACCUUCCUGAGAAUACUACCAGUGCAGAAUGCAGACCUUCUUAAUAAUACUACCAGUGCAGAAUGCAGAUCUUCUUAAUAAUACUACCAGUGCAGAAUGCAGACCUUCUUAAUAAUACUACAAGUGCAGAAUGCAGACCUUCUUAAUAAUACUACCAGUGCAGAAUUCUGACCUUCCUGAGAAUACUCCCUAUGCAGAAUGCAGACCUUCUUAAUAAUACUACCAGUGCAGAAUUCAGACCUUCCUGAGAAUACUACCAGUGCAGAAUGCAGACCUUCUUAAUAAUACUACCAGUGCAGAAUGCAGACCUUCUUAAUAAUACUACCAGUGCAGAAUGCAGACCUUCUUAAUAAUACUACCAGUGCAGAAUUCAGACUUUCUUAAUAAUACUACCAGUGCAGAAUGCAGACGUUCUUAAUAAUACUACCAGUGCAGAAUUCAGACCGUCUUAAUAAUACUACCAGUGCAGAAUGCAGACCUUCUUAAUAAUACUACCAGUGCAGAAUGCAGACCUUCUUAAUAAUACUACCAGUGCAGAAUUCAGACCUUCCUGAGAAUACUUCCAGUGUGCAGUUAUUUUCUUGCCUUCUUAUUUCACUAUUCUAUCUAUUUAGAUCUAAUUUCUGUAUAUCAGGAUUGGGACCAUCUAAAGCAACUGCAGUAUAUCUACUGAUAUGAAAGACUGAUUAAAGAAAACUGCUCUUGUUACCUCCGCCAAGAGUUGGUGCAGCCUAAAUAUUUCUCCAUACAGCGCCUUAAUCUCCCUCAUGUUUCCUCGCUCAGUUCUCCAUGUCUCUCUAGCCAAUCUCCAAUGGGCGAGGUCAAGGUCAUGGAUAUCCUCCCGCAUGCCUAGUUCAACCUGGGUUCCCUUCUCAUUUAGCCUCUUCUUUUUCCUCUUCUUCUGGAUUGAAUCGGUGUUCUCCUUGUCCUGCCUACACACCUUUGGGGCAGUAGGGAUAUUGAGAAUAGAACAUGGUAUAUUUUAUUUUACUCAUUGGAUUAUUAUGUGCCUUCCAUUGUAUUUCAUUAUUAUAGAAUAUCAAUAAGGUAUAAUGUUGACACUAGAUCAAGCCGUAGUUUGUACAAAGUUUACACUGAUUGGCCAUACAUGAUUAGUCUGGACCCCUUUAGUGGGUCGUAGAUUUAGCCUGCAGAUGGGACUUACAUUAAGGCUGGGGAGUUGUGAGGAGUUGUGAGGCUGGUGUGUUCUGGGCCUGUGGAGUUCAGUAGUUCCUGUACAGAAAUCAUCCUGUGCAGUCCGUUUUGCCCAUGGCUAGAAAUGAAAAUGAUGACAAACAUGCAGUCAGAAAUGAGGUUAUCAUGAUACAAGCUUGUUAUUUUCAAUCUUAGAAAAGCUCAUAGGCCUAUAUGUCAAAGUGAUGAUUUUAAAUCACUGGAGUUUUGACUAUGGGGGUGGUGAGAGAAAAGAGAUUCUAACCAUUCUUAUGAUGAGCCUUGGAAAGGAGAACUUUCCCAUAGUUCCUUCAAUUACAGUAAUCCUGAAAAAGAUACAAUAUGGCUUAAAAUUAUGAUUAUAUUAUUCAAAUUAUCUAAAUUAAAUUGUGCCACAAAGUAGGCCUUUUCACACUAAAUCACAAGUGGUCACAACUACUUACCACCAAAAUAACCAUCUAAAAUAUAGCAAUGAUUUUGACCCUGAAUUGAACUUGUAAGUGUUGCUGUAAUAUGACAGUAAUGCUAUGGCAAACCUUUUAGGCUGUCAUCAAACCAGAAUACAAUCAUUUAUGACAUCACAAUUGUGAUGUAAUGUGGUGCCAUGGGAAGCCACACCCACCAUGACAGACAACAAAUCACCAGAGCCACAUAGGCCUAUUAACCAAUGAAUCCACUUCUAUGUUUGAAAUACAGUAUAUUUAGUACUAGUAAGCUCAUAAACAUAGUAAAAACCCCACUGUAGCAAUGUGUAUCACUUCACAGCUACUGUUCAUGAUGCAUCAUGAGUGGCUGUCCUCUGAUGGGACCCUAUUCCCUACAUAGUGUACAACUUUUGACCAGGGCUGAUAAUGUACUUUAUAGGGUUGAUUUGGGAUGCACAUAGGACUAUGUAAAAAGUACCUUUGUUCAUCCUCAUAUUCAAUUUUGCUUUGACAUUAACAGAUUUUUACUAAGUGAAAAUUAUGGGACAACAAGAAAGGCAUGUAUUCAUAAGAAAGACUGUAUGUGUUGUAAAUUCAAUGUAGAUUCCAGUUUCAAAUGGUAGACAUUGUAACUCUUCAGGAUGUGGCAGAGUAUGAAAACUUUGCACUGUCUCUGAUGCAGGUGUUUUUUUUCUCCCACUCAUUAUGACAUCACUGUGACAUCAUAUGGUGGACAUUGUCCCUGAGUUUGGCAUCUCCGGGGAUAAUAUGCUGUGUGCAGACCACUGUCACACAUAUGCACUAGUGCAAUCAUUGUAUUUCCUCCUGCAUGAAUGUAUAAUUGCAACAUUACAUCAUUUUUAC
Oncorhynchus kisutch (coho salmon) is the source of this 7766-nucleotide long non-coding RNA. RefSeq lists it as uncharacterized. The transcript is spliced from 3 exons. Lineage: Eukaryota; Metazoa; Chordata; Actinopteri; Salmoniformes; Salmonidae. The record is from RefSeq and is a predicted model, not a curated record.